AGAACGAACGCUGGCGGCAUGCCUAACACAUGCAAGUCGAACGCUUUUGGGGCUUCGGUCCCAAAGGAGUGGCGCACGGGUGAGUAGCGCGUGGGAACCUGCCCUGUUGUGGGGGAUAACCGAGGGAAACUUCGGCUAAUACCGCAUACGCCCGGGGGAAACUCCGGGGAAAGAUUCAUCGCAGCAGGAGGGGCCCGCGUCGGAUUAGGUAGUUGGUGGGGUAACGGCCCACCAAGCCUGUGAUCCGUAGCUGGUCUGAGAGGAUGAUCAGCCACACUGGGACUGAGACACGGCCCAGACUCCUACGGGAGGCAGCAGUGGGGAAUAUUGGACAAUGGGCGCAAGCCUGAUCCAGCAAUGCCGCGUGAGUGAUGAAGGCCUUCGGGUUGUAAAGCUCUUUCGCACGCGACGAUGAUGACGGUAGCGUGAGAAGAAGCCCCGGCUAACUUCGUGCCAGCAGCCGC
RNAcentral lists this ribosomal RNA (464 nucleotides) under uncultured bacterium. RNAcentral describes it as "SSU rRNA". It matches the Rfam family "Bacterial small subunit ribosomal RNA", at positions 26 to 518 of the family's 1533-position model. The record is from RNAcentral.